This 75-nucleotide transfer RNA is filed under the name Crocinitomicaceae bacterium. RNAcentral describes it as "tRNA-Pro". It matches the Rfam family "tRNA". Rfam says of the family: Transfer RNA (tRNA) molecules are approximately 80 nucleotides in length. Lineage: Bacteria; Pseudomonadati; Bacteroidota; Flavobacteriia; Flavobacteriales; Crocinitomicaceae. The record is from RNAcentral.
CGGGGUGUAGCGUAGCCCGGUUAUCGCGCCUGGUUUGGGACCAGGAGGUCGAGUGUUCGAAUCACUCCACCCCGA